Molecule: ribosomal RNA, 774 nt
Filed under: uncultured bacterium
Lineage: Bacteria
Description: bacterial SSU rRNA
Rfam family: Bacterial small subunit ribosomal RNA
Source: RNAcentral
GCGAGCGCAGGCGGUCUUUUAAGUCUGAUGUGAAAGCCCACGGCUCAACCGUGGAGGGUCAUUGGAAACUGGAAGACUUGAAUGCAGAAGAGGAAAGUGGAAUUCCAUGUGUAGCGGUGAAAUGCGUAGAUAUAUGGAGGAACACCAGUGGCGAAGGCGACUUUCUGGUCUGUAAUUGACGCUGAGGCUCGAAAGCGUGGUGAGCGAACAGGAUUAGAUACCCUGGUAGUCCACGCCGUAAACGAUGAGUGCUAAGUGUUGGAGGGUUUCCGCCCUUCAGUGCUGGAGCUAACGCAUUAAGCACUCCGCCUGGGGAGUACGGCCGCAAGGCUGAAACUCAAAGGAAUUGACGGGGACCCGCACAAGCGGUGGAGCAUGUGGUUUAAAUUCGAAGCAACGCGAAGAACCUUACCAGAUCUUGACAUCCUCUGACCACCCAAGAGAUUGGGCUUUCCCUUCGGGGACAGAGUGACAGGUGGUGCAUGGUUGUCGUCAGCUCGUGUUCUUAAAAUCUUGGUUAAAUUCCGUUAAGGGGGCAACCCCUUAUGUUUAGUUUUCACCAUCCAGUUGGCCAUUUUAGGGAGAUUGCCGGUGGAUAAACCGGAGGAAGCCGGGGAUGACGUCAAAUCAUCAUGCCCCUUAUGAUCUGGGCUACACACGUGCUACAAUGGAUGGUACAACGAGUCGCGAGACCGCGAGGUUUAGCUAAUCUCCUAAAGCCAUUCUCAGUUCGGAUUGCAGGCUGCAACUCGCCUGCAUGAAGCCGGAAUCGCU